CAAGGAAUUUUCGGCAAUGGGCGAGAGCCUGACCGAGCAACGCCGCGUGCAGGAUGACGGCCUUCGGGUUGUAAACUGCUUUUGGAUGGGACGAUAAUGACGGUACCAUCCGAAUAAGCCCCGGCUAACUCCGUUG
RNAcentral lists this ribosomal RNA (136 nucleotides) under uncultured bacterium. RNAcentral describes it as "partial 16S ribosomal RNA". It matches the Rfam family "Bacterial small subunit ribosomal RNA", at positions 355 to 508 of the family's 1533-position model. The record is from RNAcentral.